RNAcentral lists this ribosomal RNA (468 nucleotides) under uncultured bacterium. RNAcentral describes it as "partial 16S ribosomal RNA". It matches the Rfam family "Bacterial small subunit ribosomal RNA", at positions 28 to 507 of the family's 1533-position model. The record is from RNAcentral.
GACGAACGCUGGCGGCGUGCUUAACACAUGCAAGUCGAACGGAAAGGCCCUGCUUUUGUGGGGUGCUCGAGUGGCGAACGGGUGAGUAACACGUGAGUCACCUGCCCUUGACUUUGGGAUAACUUCAGGAAACUGGGGCUAAUACCGGAUAGGAGCUCCUGCUGCAUGGUGGGGGUUGGAAAGUUUCGGCGGUUGGGGCUGGACUCGCGGCUUAUCAGCUUGUUGGUGGGGUAGUGGCUUACCAAGGCUUUGACGGGUAGCCGGCCUGAGAGGGUGACCGGCCACAUUGGGACUGAGAUACGGCCCAGACUCCUACGGGAGGCAGCAGUGGGGAAUAUUGCACAAUGGGCGGAAGCCUGAUGCAGCAACGCCGCGUGCGGGAUGACGGCCUUCGGGUUGUAAACCGCUUUCGCCUGUGACGAAGCGUGAGUGACGGUAAUGGGUAAAGAAGCACCGGCUAACUACGUG